Molecule: ribosomal RNA, 312 nt
Filed under: Citrobacter sp. Ca225
Lineage: Bacteria; Pseudomonadati; Pseudomonadota; Gammaproteobacteria; Enterobacterales; Enterobacteriaceae
Description: partial 23S ribosomal RNA
Rfam family: Bacterial large subunit ribosomal RNA
Source: RNAcentral
UCCCCCAGUAGCGGCGAGCGAACGGGGAGCAGCCCAGAGCCUGAAUCAGCAUGUGUGGUAGUGGAACGGUCUGGAAAGGCCGGCGAUACAGGGUGACAGCCCCGUACACAAAAUUGCAUGUGCUGUGAGCUCGAUGAGUAGGGCGGGACACGUGGUAUCCUGUCUGAAUAUGGGGGGACCAUCCUCCAAGGCUAAAUACUCCUGACUGACCGAUAGUGAACCAGUACCGUGAGGGAAAGGCGAAAAGAACCCCGGCGAGGGGAGUGAAAAAGAACCUGAAACCGUGUACGUACAAGCAGUGGGAGCCUCUUU